This 1097-nucleotide ribosomal RNA is filed under the name Clostridioides difficile. RNAcentral describes it as "bacterial LSU rRNA". It matches the Rfam family "Bacterial large subunit ribosomal RNA", at positions 1116 to 2231 of the family's 2925-position model. The record is from RNAcentral. Lineage: Bacteria; Bacillati; Bacillota; Clostridia; Peptostreptococcales; Peptostreptococcaceae.
CACUCAUUCAAAGAGUGCGUAAUAGCUCACUGGUCGAGUGAUCCUGCGCCGAAGAUUUCCGGGGCUAAAACUUACUACCGAAGCUACGGCAUCAGUAAUGAUGGGUAGGGGAGCUUCCCAUACGGGUUGAAGCAUGACCGUAAGGACAUGUGGACAGUAUGGGGGUGAGAAUGUUGGCAUGAGUAGCGAGAUGUGGGUGAGAAUCCCACAGGCCGUAAACCCAAGGUUUCCAGGGGAAGGUUCGUCCACCCUGGGUUAGUCGGGACCUAAGCUGAGGCCGAAAGGCGUAGGUGAUGGACAACAGGUUGAUAUUCCUGUACUACCGAUAACCGUUUGAGAGAAGGGAUGACACAGUAGGAUAAGCUAAGCACACUGUUGGUUAUGUGUGCCCAAGCAUUGAGGCAGUCAAAGUAGGCAAAUCCGCUUUGAUAAUGCUGGGAUGUGAUGGGGAGCGAAAUUUAGUAGCGAAGUAGCUGAUUUCACACUGUCAAGAAAAGUCUCUAUCGAGGUUAAAGGUACCCGUACCGCAAACCGACACAGGUGGGUGAGGAGAGUAUCCUAAGGCCAGCGAGAGAACUGUUGUUAAGGAACUCGGCAAAAUGACCCCGUAACUUAGGGAUAAGGGGUGCCACCAUCAGGUGGCCGCAGAGAAUAGGCCCAAGCGACUGUUUACCAAAAACAUAGGUUUCUGCUAAGUCGCAAGACGAUGUAUAGGAGCUGACGCCUGCCCGGUGCUGGAAGGUUAAGGGGAUCUGUUAGAGCAAUCGAAGCAGUGAACUUAAGCCCCAGUAAACGGCGGCCGUAACUAUAACGGUCCUAAGGUAGCGAAAUUCCUUGUCGGGUAAGUUCCGACCCGCACGAACGGCGUAACGAUUUGGGCACUGGCUCAACAACAGACUCGUUGAAAUUGUAAUUCCGGUGAAGAUGCCGGAUACCUGCGACAGGACGGAAAGACCCCAUGGAGCUUUACUGUAGCUUGACAUUGGGUCUUGGUACUACAUGUACAGGAUAGGUGGGAGGCUUUGAAACCAGGACGCCAGUUUUGGCGGAGCCAUCCUUGGGAUACCACCCUUGUAGUACUGGGACUCUAACCAUAG